Molecule: long non-coding RNA, 764 nt
Filed under: Heterocephalus glaber (naked mole-rat)
Lineage: Eukaryota; Metazoa; Chordata; Mammalia; Rodentia; Bathyergidae
Description: lncRNA (ENSHGLG00000037664.1)
Source: RNAcentral
CCAAGACUCUGACUACCCAGAAGGGAGUUUUGUUGUGUUGCUUUUUCAUUUGCUCCCUUUCCCACAUCAUAACAUGGGCACAUCAUCCCUCUCUCCUGGAACACACCAAACCCAGCCCUCUUCCAGCUCCUUGCAGGAUUUCUCCAAAUUUUGGAUUCUUCCUUCUCCUCUGCUCAAUGCCAUCUUUCUAUCAUUUUUCUCCAGCUCCUGAAUCCCAGGCCAUGAGCUUCCACCUUUGAGGAGAGAAAAGGAGCAUUUGCCUGAAGUCCUGGUCCUAAUCUCCUAAAGGUAUUGUGCACAUUGAAUAAUAGGAAGCUCUUGACAAAAGAGAAAGACAAGAGAGGUGACAAAUAUGGCCUACAAAACAGGAAAGGAAAACUAAUCACAAGUGCUGUCAGCCCUACCGAGGUCCUGAGUCGCACAGAACACGCCAGAUCACCCCGCUGCAGACAGGCAGGUCUGCCCACGCCCUACCAAGAUCCUGAGUCGCAUAGAACACGCCGAAUCAGCCCACUACAGACAGGCAGGUCUGUGCACGCCCUAGCGAGGUCCUGAGUCACCCAGAAGAUGCCAGAAUCAGCCUGCUGCAGACAGGCAGGUCUGUGCAUGCGCUACCGAGGUCCUGAGUCACACAGAACACGCUUAAUCAGCCCGAUGCAGACAGGCAGGUCUGUGCAUGCCCUACCGAGAUCCUGAGUCAUGCAGAAGAUGCCGAAUCACCCCACUGCAGACAGGCAGCCACUUGGUUCCAUACUACAAAGAUG